RNAcentral lists this ribosomal RNA (447 nucleotides) under uncultured organism. Its description in RNAcentral is "partial 16S ribosomal RNA". It matches the Rfam family "Bacterial small subunit ribosomal RNA", at positions 333 to 797 of the family's 1533-position model. The record is from RNAcentral.
ACACUCCUGCGGGAAGCAGCAGUGGGGAAUAUUGGACAAUGGGCGCAAGCCUGAUCCAGCCAUGCCGCGUGAGUGAUGAAGGCCCUAGGGUUGUAAAGCUCUUUCACCGGUGAAGAUAAUGACGGUAACCGGAGAAGAAGCCCCGGCUAACUUCGUGCCAGCAGCCGCGGUAAUACGAAGGGGGCUAGCGUUGUUCGGAUUUACUGGGCGUAAAGCGCACGUAGGCGGACUAUUAAGUCAGGGGUGAAAUCCCGGGGCUCAACCCCGGAACUGCCUUUGAUACUGGUAGUCUUGAGUUCGAGAGAGGUGAGUGGAAUUCCGAGUGUAGAGGUGAAAUUCGUAGAUAUUCGGAGGAACACCAGUGGCGAAGGCGGCUCACUGGCUCGAUACUGACGCUGAGGUGCGAAAGCGUGGGGAGCAAACAGGAUUAGAAACCCUUGUAGUCCC